Molecule: long non-coding RNA, 2798 nt
Filed under: Homo sapiens (human)
Lineage: Eukaryota; Metazoa; Chordata; Mammalia; Primates; Hominidae
Description: HSALNT0375330
Source: RNAcentral
AAAAGGAAGGGAAAGAGGAAGGGAAAGAGGAAGGAAGGAAGGAAGGAAGGGCAAUUGGUACUAAAUUCUUGUAGUGCCCAGGCACUCUUCCCCUAGUGGGCAGGGCAGAGAGACUGUGAAAGGUGGAGAUGAAGGAGAGCCAUCAUUUCACUCUUGAGAAAGGACGGAGCAGGCUGUGUGGAAGAGAUGAGAUCUGGGAUAAAUUGGAAAAGGUAUCAAAAAAUUAGGAGGGAAGAAAUAUUUUCAGCAAGUCUGCUACCACACUCCUCAAAUUCAACUAAGAGUGGUGAUUUAAUGUCAGAAAAGCUCCGCAUCCAGCCCUAUUAGCAGGGGCAGAAACAGACGCCAGGAGACACUGCCCACCUCCUGGGAAUCGGAAUCAGCCUUCACAGCACCAGGAGCCUGGGGUGGGCUGCUGUUUCUGUAAGGUUUUAAAAAGUCAGAGAGCACAGAGUUCUUCCGGAGCCUAUUCUGACUCCUCCUGAGUUUUGUUCACGUGAGAUAAUAUCCUCCUGGGAAAAAAUCUUGAUGGAAAGCCAAGGCCCCCCUGCUGGCUGCAAGAAACCGGAAUUCGGCCUUUUCGGCGCGCACCCGGACACGGCGCUGGGAUGAAGGCGCCCAGUUCAUGCCCAGCCAGGGCCUGCAGGGACAACGGGAUGGUCACAGGACGGCUGCCUCAGCUCCAAACAGCAACAUCUGAAGGAGAAAGCUGCAGGCCCGGACUGGAUGGCUUUGGCUAAGGAACCAACGCAGGUGGAGAAGGAGGCUGACGAUGGAGCCCAGGCACUCCAGCCUUGAAGGAGGAGAACCUGACCCUGAGCCUGCAUGGCAGCCGUGCGGGGGGACUUCGGGGGGUUUCCCCUUUGCUUCCAUCCAAAGAAAGUGCCCCACGUUUGAAAGCCUCUGUGCUGAAUGCUCCCAAUGCCCUCCGAUUCCAUCUAGGUCGUCCCUACCACCAAGGCAGGUGUGUGAAUUCACCCGCACAGCUCACCGUCCUGGGAGGGUGACGCUGGAGGAGGGACGUCCCUACCAUCAAGGCAGGUGUGUGAAUUCACCCGCACAGUUCACCGUCCUGGGAGGGUGACGCUGGAGGAGGGACGUCCCUACCAUCAAGGCAGGUGUGUGAAUUCACCCGCACAGUUCACCGUCCUGGGAGGGUGACGCUGGAGGAGGGACAUCCCUACCAUCAAGGCAGGUGUGUGAAUUCACUCGCACAGUUCACCGUCCUGGGAGGGUGACGCUGGAGUAGGGAUGUCCCUCCGGGGUCUCUUCAGCAUCUGCCCUUCUCCACCACAUAAGUUCGUCAGUGAGGGGGAGUCACGCAGCUGGGAGCAUGGAGUGCAGUGCGCAGGCCCCUUGCCCGGGGCCAGGCUCCCUCUGCCUCAUUGCCGCUAAGAGGCUGCCCUUUCUGGCCUGGACAUCUCCUGGGACUGUGGGCCCUCACAGCCCUGGGCAGUCUGGACAGGACGGACUGUGCUUCUCAUGGGGCAGCACUUCCUCCACUGCAGACGCUGCCACCUGCCCCCUCCCUCCCUGCUGGAAGCCUCUGGUCUCCAGGCCUCUCCUGGCUGUCUCUGGCCCUUGCCUCAUUCACACCCAGCUGUGAGCAUACCUGCUGGCUCAGCCCAGAGCCCCUGUCUUCUCAGCUUUGCACCCCAACUCCUGAAUUUGGUUUUCAGCUGGAUUUCCUUAGGCUCAGGACUUAGCCAGGACUUGUGGACUCUCCUGCAUAUUUCUAGUACAUGCACCUGCACAGGUUCGGGCCCUCUGACCACGAAGAGUGAAUGAGACUGGGAGGGGUCAUUACACAUUGCAAGCAAAGCCAUAAACACACACACCAGCCAGGUGCAAAAAGAGUUAAACUAAUUAGCUUAUUCCCUUGGGGAGAGUUUAAGCAGAAGUAGGAAAAUAACUGAAGUACCAAACUGUCAGACAAUGAAUGGGUCUGGAAUAAUGUGAAAAUUACUGCAACUGUCUGAGAGGCUAUGUAGUUGGUGUUGUUAUUAGUGGGGAGCUUUUUCCUCCACAGAGCAAGAUACUAAAUGGAUGUCAUUUCUGGGCACUUACAUAAUUGGCUAAGGCUGGUCUCAGCGGAAAACAGCCGCUGGCCCUGUCCACACACACACGCGGACCCACGGGGCCACUUGGAAGUCGGACGCUCCUGGCCUGACACUGCAUUGUCUCCAGAAUGAGAAACACAGCAGAGAGGGAAUGGUCAACCCCAGAGCACUGGCCACUUUGGGAAAAUGGACAUCUCCUCUCCUCUGGCUGAAGGAAAGUAAGAAGACACGGUGUUGCCCCAGGCUAUGUAGCCCACAACAAUUUUCCAUCCAAAUGCAUGAGCCCGGGUUCCCGAUGAAGACUUGGCUUCUCCUGAGCCCGGGGGUCCUGGCUGCUCUGGUGCCAACCCCUGGGUGUCUUUGAGCUGCAGAGGGCUUGCCACGUGCAUCCUCCUCCCUCUGCCUGAGCCACGAAGACCAGGCUGGACUAUGUUCCACAAAGACUUUUUCCCCUCAGGGGUCUCCUCCCAACAACACUUAACCAAGCUUUGUAUUCAACAAGGAACACAUUCCGCCUCCACCAAACCUCAUUGAAAACAGAGAGGUGCAUGGAUAACCAUGGCCAAAUCAUAACUGGUAUGCAUGCUCAUGGUUUUCUUUGAAAAUCUAACUGUCCUUUAAAAAUCUUUCCCACAUGAAGAGCCACAAUAAAUGACAAAUACAAAUUAUAAGUUUAUAAGGAAAGUAUGCUAGUAAGUGUAAGCAAAUUAAAAGGAUGUCCCAUAGGGUGGUAACAAC